GCUUAUGUGGUGGAGCUUUAGGGGUGCUAGUGCUAGAGGGCCUCAUUAGGGAGCUUAAUUUUUGAGUGGAAUUAGUAGUAGCAUUUAAGCUAGAUCUCUUGUUGAGAAAAUUCGUCAGUUUCUAGACUUGGAAUGGGACAAUCGUAGUUCAUUACUCUUAGAUUAUAUAAGAAACUAGUACAAUUGUAGCUCAACUUAGCAAUUUUUUUCUUCUUAAAAAAGGUUACAAAGAUGACAUUUAAGUCAUUCCAACUUAAUACCCCAAAUAAGUCACUAAGAAUGAUACAAGAAAAUAUAAAAAUUUAUCUGUCUCUUUAAAAACCUUAUCAAAGAUUCAAAAAGAGUACAUAGAUAAACUAAAGUACUAAACAUAAAUUCUUAUUCUUAGUUAUAAUCUCAUUGAGACAUGAGAUUCUUAGUAUUAUUAGCAAGUUUUCAUAAUCACUUGCAUUUUGAAAGUGGUGCUCCACACAAACACUUGUUAUGAAGAUAAGCAUACUUAUCAAAAUUAUCCUGCAAUCUUUUCGUCCCACCUUGAGGUAUCUGACCACACAACUUAUUAUAACUCACAUUAAACUGUUGCAAUUCCACUUUCGCCAAUUCAACCGGAAGCUUACCAUAAAUGUUAUUAUGAUUAAUAUCCAACCAUAUCAAACUCUUAAUCGGAAAUUGAACUUUCGAAAAAUCAAACGACAAUAAAUUCCUCGAAAUGUCAAUCUUUUGUGUCUUUUUCUUGCUCCCGAAAAGCACGGAAGCAUCGCCUACGAGCUUGUUCCUCGACAAGUCUAUCCUCUCUGGGUCAAUUUGGCCCAAUGAGGUUGGAAUAGUUCCAGAAAGCUGGUUGCGGGAUAGAAUAAUAUCUGGCCCGGGCUUUUUAAAUGAACCAAAUGAUUCUGGAAUUGUGCCCGUGAGCUUGUUUCCGUCCAAGCGUAAGGAAGUGAGUUUAGGCAAUUGAGAAAGUGAGCUUGGUAUUGGGCCUGAGAGGUAGUUGCCAGUAAGGUGAAGAAGUAUGAGGUUUUUAAGUUGGGCCAAAAAAGGCGGUACUGGGCCUGAGACAUUGGUAUAUUCGAUAAAAAGAUAUUUUAAAUUUUUGAGCUUAGCGAUUGUGGGCGGAAUUGGGCCUGUGAGAUAAGGUAGUCUAUGGAAUGAGAGACUUUGGAGGUAAGGUAGGUCACCUACCGAAGGAGGGAUAUGGCCCGUAAGAUUGGUGAAUACAGGGCUAUCUCUAAUAGAGAGGGAGAUUAUACGGUCUGUUAUUUCAUCACAUUGGAUGAGGUACCAGCCACAACAAGGUGUUUUUGGAUCCCAUGAGGCUAGAAGGUAAGGGUUGUUAAGAUCUUUUUUGAUUUGGAGUAACACUUUCUUAUCUUGUGAGUUGCAAUCUUUUAUUGGUGUAAUUGGUGUAAUUGGCAUGACAGAGAGAGAUUGAGAGGAUUGUGGAGGAGACGAUCCAAAUCCAAGUGGAGAGAGUGACAAAAGGGAGAGGAGGGUGAGAGUGAGAGCUAUUGUAGCUCUACAAAACAUGGUUUCUAUUUUUGGUUGGAAUAUUAUAAUGUUGAAUGAUACUAUUAAGUGGGAGAAUUGGUGUUUUUAUAGAAUUUAAUUAGAAAAACAUGCUAAACGUGACUUAUUAGUAUGGUGUGGAAGAAAACAGUGUAUGGAUAAGGGAAAGAUUUUUACUGACAAAAAGAUAAGGAAAAUCUAAAAUGGAAUGAUUGUGUAUUUUUGUUUGUUCUCUAUGGUAAAUACUAGUGGUAAAUAUUAUGCUCAGUCCAACUUAUUUCUAACUUAUUAGUAAUUCAUAAUGUUAAAAUAAAUUGUUUCUCUUUCAUGCUUUUCACUUUAUACAUAUUUUAAAAAUAUAUAAAAUAUCAUAUGACAACAAAUUUUUCAUAUUCAAAUAUCAUUUUUUUUUUUAUGAAACAUAUGUAAGUAUAGAAAGUAAAAAUUAUAAACGAAAUAGAAAAAAAAAUAAAAAUACUAUAUGUUAUCAAAUUCUAAAUAUGUGUGAAUUUUUUAGUUGAUGUCAUAUAUACCUCAUCAACUAAGUCUUUGGUUGAUGAUGUGUUCAAAGGUAAAACCGGUGGUUUACAUGGGCACACCGCACAUGGUUAUUCUUUACAUAUGUACUUCCAUCUGUGACAAUAUAAAUUAAGAAUAUAAAAAGUAUUUAACCGUGCAUAAAUCAAUAUUUUUAAUAAAAAGCAUGUGUUUCUAUCUUGCAGAACUUUUGGUUCUCUUUGGCCUCUUGUCAGUUUGUGGAUUGACUCCUCUCUAGUGACUGCUCAGGCUAUUUCGGAUCACUUUAUUCAAUUUACUAUUUCAGUAGGGGUUUCUUGUGCACGACGUUCAUUCAUGCAACUCAUAUGACUUGCUUGCGUGUGGGUUGUGUGGACUGAACGAAACCAUUGAUUGUUUAGAGGCUCGACACAUUCAGUAAUCAGAUGUUGGACAAGAUUAGGUCUUUCUCUUAUAGGUGGUUAAAAGCGACGAGUAGUACUUUAGUUUUGAACAGCAAUAAUUGAUGGUCUAGUCCUAUGUUUUGUUUGGACCUUGUAUAAUUUUCCUUAUGAUUUUAUUUUUUGUAUUUUGAUCUCUCUUGUAACUUUAUAAUCUCUCUUGACACACCUUAUAUUAAGUAGAUUACUUUUUAUAUAUACAUAUGUCAUUUUGAUUUGUUAAAAAGAAAUAUUUUUUUUACACAUAGAUUUGAGAUAGUACUACUGUACGGGUACUAUACAAUAGUAUCCGAUAAAGGAGUUAAAGUUGUAACCAAGAAAAAAAGAUAAAGGAGUUAAAGUGGCUUUCGUCCCACCAAAAUUUGUACUCACUCAUUUUGUCUACACUUUCAUCAAUAAUGUUUUCUUUUUAGGCCUCUCAUAUAUCUUUUAUAUCCCCAAAUAUUUUAAUUUUGCUCUUGCUAAAAACUUCGGUUCGUAAAAAUCGAAAUUUUUUCUAGUUCAAAUUCAGGGAAAGUUCGGUUAACAAAGAUCGAAAAAAAAUUUCAAGGCAAAAAAAAUUUGGUUCGUAACAACCAAAAUUUUUAUUAAAGGGUAAAAAUAUAAAAUUCAGAAGGGAAAAAUGAACCAUGACGAACCUAAAGAGAAAACAUCUUCAUCAAUCAUCAUGGGCUUCAGGGAUUGUGUUCUUCAAUUUUCAUAAGAGGUCACAUGGUGGGUUGUUCAACUUCAAUUAUUGCUUGUAGCAGUGCCAUUUUCCUACUAUCACUAUGCUUUUAUGCCAUGCAUGCUGUAUCGCAAAGAAGUACUAUAUGAUGGUGGAUUUACUCCUUUCCUCCCAAAAUAGAUCAUUGAAUACACCACGUACCUUCAGUUAAUGAGCACGCUACCUUCAGUUUUGAACUUCAUUAAUUAACCACAAGUUUUUUAGUUAUUGAUCAAGUAUACAUUUUUUAUUGACACUAGUUAUUCAAGUAUACAUGAUUUAGAUAUGUUUGAAUAUAUAAUAUGAUAUUUAACAAAUUAAAUGAUUGAACUCAAGUGAUUAAUAAGGAUUAUUUAAGGAACAAAUUGUUGAAAAGAACUUUAGUUUGAUUUUUGAGUGAUAUCAUUUUUGUCUGACAUUACUUACGUGUCUCAAAUUUGCAUUAGGGAGUUGCUAAAUUUUACGAAGGAGUGUCAUAAGAAAGACAAGAAUUGUAUGUGUAUACUUGAACAAAUAAAAUUAAAGGUGCGAAGUAGGUAUUUUUGAGUGAUAUUAUUUUUGUCUGACAUUACUUACUCGUCUCAAGAUUUUUAGUAUGUGUAUAGUUUAAAUCAGCGGCACAUAUUCAUUCUUGCUUUUCGUCUCCACAAAGCUUCGUAAAGACCAACAUUUUCCUUUGCAUUAACAUGAUCUCUUUCUUCUAGAAACUCGAGAGUUUUACACACACAAAAAAAAAACACACCAUAAUAUUCAUUAAACACUUGACAUUGUAGUUCAAAUAUGCACUUGAAAAUCAUAGUUAAUUAUGUAAAAUAGAUGGUUAAUGAGUUACAACACUUUCUUAAAUUCAUUAAUCAACCACAUAUUUAAAUUGCAUUAACACUUAAAUUAUUGUUGAAUUUUAAUUUCAAAUUAAAUAUUAUUUCUUUUCAAUUUCUUUUUACGGUUUCUAAAACUCGAUAUCUCUAGCAUUAUUUCAGAAAUUAUAAAAAUGUGAAAACACUAUUUUUAUUGUAAAAAAAAAAAAACAUUAAUUGUUCCUAACAAGUGAUUGAACUUAAGUUAUUUAGGUUAGUGAUGCCGUAAACAAGAUUGGUCUCAUUCACAAUUUUCUUUAUUAAAACAGGCUCGUAAAUUAACCUUUGAAAAAUAAUUCUUAAUUUUAACCAAGGUUUUGCGAAGGGAAAAAAUAAUAUAUCACAUUAAUUUUAACAGAGUCGUUUUUAUUAUAAAGUUUUGAAAAAUAAAUUAACAAUUUCAUUUUGAAACCACACAAGUUUAAAACACUGAGGUUAAUUUAUAAUUCUUAAUUUUUUUUGGAUUUCACCACCAAUUUAAUCUGGUUCGGCAAUUAGUUCUGGCAUCAAAUAAUUUCAGCCUAUUCCGAUUGCAGUUGCUAUCAUUCUUAAUUUUAACAAGCUAAGGUUUUGCGAAGCGAAAAAAUAAUAUCACAUUAAAAGAAACUAUAACGGCAGCUCAACUUAGCAAUUGAACUUUGUCAAAAGAAAAAAAACUUAGCAAUUGAACAUUGAACAAAUUGCAUGCAAAUCAUAUCGUACUCAAAUACAAACUCUCAUUCUUAUGUCUCAUUGAAAACAUGAGAUUCAUUUAUUGUCAACUUAGCAAGUUUUCUUUUAUCACUUGCAUUUUGGAAGUGGUUUGCCACACAAACACUUGUUAUGAAGAUAAGCAUACUCAUCAAACCUGUCCUGCAAUCUCCCAGUUCCACCCUGAGGUAUCGCACCACACAAUCUAUUAUAACUCACAUUAAACUGCUGCAAAUUUUCGACUUUCGUCAAUGCAACCGGAAUCUUCCCAUAAAUCUUAUUAUGAUU
RNAcentral lists this long non-coding RNA (5000 nucleotides) under Trifolium pratense (red clover). RNAcentral describes it as "long non-coding RNA (TPRA_LNC014378)". Lineage: Eukaryota; Viridiplantae; Streptophyta; Magnoliopsida; Fabales; Fabaceae. The record is from RNAcentral.